GUGCCCCUGGGGCCACGUGACGGAAGGCCCCGCCCCCGCGCGUGGGUGACGUCACCGCCCGCGCCUGGCGCGGCGCUGGCGAAGACUGCGGCGUUCGCGAAGCUCGCGGCUCGGCGGCGGCCCUGAGGGUCCGUGACGGGCGGCUUGGGUUUUUUUCUCGUUGUAAAACCCCCUCGAUGAGGACAAGCGGGCGCCGAGAUCUGCAGGCGAGGCGCACAAACCGAGUUUGGACCCCCGUGCUCGCGAGCGGUCAGCGCCCGAGACCUUCCACUGCUCACGCCGCCUGCUCCCGACCCUUGACAGCGUCAGAGACAGAGCAUCCUGUAUCUUUGUUUGCUAAAAUCGGCAACCCCAGCCUGUGAACAAAUCCUACCUUUGGAUUUCUCAUCUGUGAAAUGAACACGAGCUCCAUGAAGGGAGGGAUGUUUUGUUGUUCCCCGCCUGCUGUGCCCCAGCACCUAGAAGGAUAUCUGGCCCUGGAUGACUACUCAGUUGUCGACUGAGUGAGCAUAAAAGAUAAGUUGUCUCCUGCUAUAAAAACUAGUUUAUACGCUAAGUUUAGUGAUCCUACCUCGUCUCCCCCGGUUCUUUUAUUCCUUUCAAUGUGUUUCCCCCUGCAUUUUAUCAUUGUUUCUGUGAAUUAAAUAUAUGCCCCCUUCCUAGCCACCUUCACCAGGGUGAACACAGUAGCCAUCCUUCUAACUCAAAAGAAAUACUUUAGACAUUUGGGGGAUGCCUGGGUGGCUCAGUGGGUUGGGCCUCUGCCUUCGGCUUGGGUCAUGAUCUCU
Molecule: long non-coding RNA, 788 nt
Organism: Mustela erminea (ermine)
Lineage: Eukaryota; Metazoa; Chordata; Mammalia; Carnivora; Mustelidae
Exons: 4
Source: RefSeq, a predicted model, not a curated record